This 393-nucleotide ribosomal RNA is filed under the name uncultured bacterium. RNAcentral's name for it is "partial 16S ribosomal RNA". It matches the Rfam family "Bacterial small subunit ribosomal RNA", at positions 523 to 918 of the family's 1533-position model. The record is from RNAcentral.
AUACGGAGGAUCCGAGCGUUAUCCGGAUUUAUUGGGUUUAAAGGGUGCGCAGGCGGGAGAUUAAGUCGGCGGUGAAAUUUUGCAGCUCAACUGUAAAAGUGCCUUCGAAACUGGUUUCCAUGAGUGUAGAUGAAGUAGGCGGAAUUUGUGGUGUAGCGGUGAAAUGCAUAGAUAUCACGAGGAACUCCGAUUGCGCAGGCAGCUUACUAAACUACUACUGACGCUCAGGCACGAAGGCGUGGGGAUCAAACAGGAUUAGAUACCCUGGUAGUCCACGCAGUAAACGAUGAUUACUAGCUGUUUGCGAUACAAUGUAAGCGGCUGAGCGAAAGCGUUAAGUAAUCCACCUGGGGAGUACGUUCGCAAGAAUGAAACUCAAAUGAAUUGACGGGG